AUUGAACGCUGGCGGCAGGCCUAACACAUGCAAGUCGAACGGUAACAGGAAACAGCUUGCUGUUUCGCUGACGAGUGGCGGACGGGUGAGUAAUGUCUGGGAAACUGCCUGAUGGAGGGGGAUAACUACUGGAAACGGUAGCUAAUACCGCAUAACGUCGCAAGACCAAAGAGGGGGACCCUCGGGCCUCUUGCCAUCGGGUGUGCCCAGAUGGGAUUAGCUUGUUGGUGGGGUAACGGCUCACCAAGGCGACGAUCCCUAGCUGGUCUGAGAGGAUGACCAGCCACACUGGAACUGAGACACGGUCCAGACUCCUACGGGAGGCAGCAGUGGGGAAUAUUGCACAAAGGGCGCAAGCCUGAUGCAGCCAUGCCGCGUGUAUGAAGAAGGCCUUCGGGUUGUAAAGUACUUUCAGCGGGGAGGAAGGGAGUAAAGUUAAUACCUUUGCUCAUUGACGUUACCCGCAGAAGAAGCACCGGCUAACUCCGUG
Molecule: ribosomal RNA, 490 nt
Filed under: uncultured bacterium
Lineage: Bacteria
Description: partial 16S ribosomal RNA
Rfam family: Bacterial small subunit ribosomal RNA
Source: RNAcentral